GGUUUGAUCAUGGCUCAGAUUGAACGCUGGCGGGAUGCUUUACACAUGCAAGUCGAACGGCAGCACGACUUCGGUCUGGUGGCGAGUGGCGAACGGGUGAGUAAUGUAUCGGAACGUGCCUAGUAGCGGGGGAUAACUAUGUGAGCGUAGCUAAUACCGCAUACGCCCUUCGGGGGAAAGCGGGGGACCUUCGGGCCUCGCAAUUAUUAGAGCGGCUGAUAUCGGAUUAGCUUAGUUGCGGGUAACGGCUCUCACCACGGCGACGAUCCGUAGCUGGUUUGAGAGACACCAGCCACGACUGGACUGAGAUAUCGGCCCAGACUCUACGGGAGGCAGCAGCGGGGGAAUUUUGGACAAUGGGGAAACCCUGAUCCAGCCAUCCCGCGUGCGAUGAAGGCCUUCGGGUUGUAAAAGCACUUUGGCAGGAGAAGAAACGGCACGGGAUAAUACCCCCGUGCAACUGACGGUACCUGCAGAAUAAGCACCGGCUAACUACGUGCCAGCAGCCGCGGUAAUACGUAGGGUGUUGUUAACGGAAUUACUGGGCGCAAGCGUGCGCAGGCGGUUCGAAAGAAAGAUGUGAACUUGUAGCUUAACUUUUGGAACUGCAUUUUUAACUACCGAGCUAUGCGUCAGAGGGAGGUGGACCCGCGUGUAGCAGUGAAAAUGCGUAGAUAUGCGGAGGAACAUCCGAUGGCGAAGGCAGCCUCCUGGGAUAACACUGACGCUCAUGCACGAAAAGCCGCCGGGAGCAAACAGGAUUAGAUACCCUGGUAGUCCACGCCUAAACGAUGAUCAACUAUUGUUGGGGCUCGGGCCUUGGUAGCGCAGCUAACGGUGAAGUUGACCGCCCCUUGGGAGUACGGUCGUGGCAUUAAACUCAAAGGAAUUGACGGGGACCCGCACAAGCGGUGGAUGAUGUGGAUUAAUUGAUGCAAUGCGAAAACCUUACCUACCCUUGACAUGUCUGGAAUCCCGAAGAGAUUUGGGAGAAAAGUUUUACAAGAGAACCGGAACACAGGUGCUGCAUGGCUGUCGUCAGCUCGUGUCGUGAGAUGUUGGGUUAAGUCCCGCAACGAGCGCGCAACCCUUGUCAUUAGUUGCUACGAAAGGCACCCAUCGAGACUGCCGGUGACAAACCGGAGGAAGGUGGAUGACGUCAAGUCCUCAUGGCCCUUAUGGGUAGGGCUUCACACGUCAUACAAUGGUCGGGACAGAGGGUCGCCAACCUCGCGAGGGGGGAGCCACAACCCAGAAACCCGAUCGUAGUCCGGAUCGCAGUCUGCAACCUGACUGCGUGAAGUCGGAAUCGCUAGUAACGGUGGAUCAGCAUGUCGCGGUGAAUACGUUCCCGGGUCUUGAAGACACCGCCCGUCACGUCCAUGGGAGUGGGUUUUACCAGAAGUAGUUAGCCUAACCGUAAGGAGGGCGAUUACCACGGUAGGAUUCAUGACUGGGGGUGAAGUCAAAAAUGCUGGUAG
RNAcentral lists this ribosomal RNA (1481 nucleotides) under uncultured Bordetella sp. RNAcentral's name for it is "partial 16S-23S ribosomal RNA intergenic spacer". It matches the Rfam family "Bacterial small subunit ribosomal RNA". The record is from RNAcentral. Lineage: Bacteria; Pseudomonadati; Pseudomonadota; Betaproteobacteria; Burkholderiales; Alcaligenaceae.